UGCAAGUCGAGGGGCAGCAUGACUGUAGCAAUACAGUUGAUGGCGACCGGCAAACGGGUGCGGAACACGUACGCAACCUACCCAAAACUGGGGAAUAGCCCGGGGAAACCCGGAUUAAUACCUCGUAACAUAAUUGAAUGGCAUCAUUUAAUUAUUAUAGCUCCGGCGGUUCUGGAUGGGCGUGCGCCUGAUUAGAUAGUUGGCGGGGUAACGGCCCACCAAGUCUGCGAUCAGUAACUGGUGUGAGAGCACGACCAGUCACACGGGCACUGAGACACGGGCCCGACUCCUACGGGAGGCAGCAGUAAGGAAUAUUGGUCAAUGGACGCAAGUCUGAACCAGCCAUGCCGCGUGAAGGAUGAAGGUCCUCUGGAUUGUAAACUUCUUUUAUAUGGGACGAAACCUCUUUUUCUAAAGAGACUGACGGUACCAUAAGAAUAAGCACCGGCUAACUCCGUGCCAGCAGCCGCGGUAAUACGGAGGGUGCAAGCGUUAUCCGGAUUCACUGGGUUUAAAGGGUGCGUAGGAGGGCAGGUAAGUCAGUGGUGAAAUCUCCAAGCUUAACUUGGAAACUGCCGUUGAUACUAUCUGUCUUGAAUAUUGUGGAGGUGAGCGGAAUAUGUCAUGUAGCGGUGAAAUGCUUAGAUAUGACAUAGAACACCAAUUGCGAAGGCAGCUCGCUACACAUAUAUUGACUCUGAGGCACGAAAGCGUGGGGAUCAAACAGGAUUAGAUACCCUGGUAGUCCACGCCCUAAACGAUGGAUACUCGACAUAUGCGAUAAACUGUGUGUGUCUGAGCGAAAGCAUUAAGUAUCCCACCUGGGAAGUACGACCGCAAGGUUGAAACUCAAAGGAAUUGGCGGGGGUCCGCACAAGCGGUGGGAGCAUGUGGUUUAA
RNAcentral lists this ribosomal RNA (899 nucleotides) under uncultured Chitinophaga sp. Its description in RNAcentral is "bacterial SSU rRNA". It matches the Rfam family "Bacterial small subunit ribosomal RNA", at positions 56 to 949 of the family's 1533-position model. Lineage: Bacteria; Pseudomonadati; Bacteroidota; Chitinophagia; Chitinophagales; Chitinophagaceae. The record is from RNAcentral.